UCUGGGAUAAGCCUGGGAAACUGGGUCUAAUACCGGAUACGACCGAUCACCGCAUGGUGUGUUGGUGGAAAGCUUUUGCGGUUUUGGAUGGACUCGCGGCCUAUCAGCUUGUUGGUGGGGUAAUGGCCUACCAAGGCGACGACGGGUAGCCGGCCUGAGAGGGUGACCGGCCACACUGGGACUGAGACACGGCCCAGACUCCUACGGGAGGCAGCAGUGGGGAAUAUUGCACAAUGGGCGAAAGCCUGAUGCAGCGACGCCGCGUGAGGGAUGACGGCCUUCGGGUUGUAAACCUCUUUCAGUAGGGAAGAAGCGUAAGUGACGGUACCUGCAGAAGAAGCGCCGGCUAACUACGUGCCAGCAGCCGCGGUAAUACGUAGGGCGCAAGCGUUAUCCGGAAUUAUUGGGCGUAAAGAGCUCGUAGGCGGUUUGUCGCGUCUGCUGUGAAAGACCGGGGCUCAACUCCGGUUCUGCAGUGGGUACGGGCAGACUAGAGUGAUGUAGGGGAGACUGGAAUUCCUGGUGUAGCGGUGAAAUGCGCAGAUAUCAGGAGGAACACCGAUGGCGAAGGCAGGUCUCUGGGCAUUAACUGACGCUGAGGAGCGAAAGCAUGGGGAGCGAACAGGAUUAGAUACCCUGGUAGUCCAUGCCGUAAACGUUGGGCACUAGGUGUGGGGGACAUUCCACGUUUUCCGCGCCGUAGCUAACGCA
Molecule: ribosomal RNA, 711 nt
Filed under: uncultured bacterium
Lineage: Bacteria
Description: bacterial SSU rRNA
Rfam family: Bacterial small subunit ribosomal RNA
Source: RNAcentral